CCUACGGGAGGCAGCAGUGGGGAAUUUUGGACAAUGGGCGAAAGCCUGAUCCAGCAAUGCCGCGUGAGUGAAGAAGGCCUUCGGGUUGUAAAGCUCUUUUGUCAGGGAAGAAACGGUGGGAGCUAAUAUCUCCUGCUAAUGACGGUACCUGAAGAAUAAGCACCGGCUAACUACGUGCCAGCAGCCGCGGUAAUACGUAGGGUGCAAGCGUUAAUCGGAAUUACUGGGCGUAAAGCGUGCGCAGGCGGUUUUGUAAGUCUGAUGUGAAAUCCCCGGGCUCAACCUGGGAAUUGCAUUGGAGACUGCAAGGCUAGAAUCUGGCAGAGGGGGGUAGAAUUCCACGUGUAGCAGUGAAAUGCGUAGAUAUGUGGAGGAACACCGAUGGCGAAGGCAGCCCCCUGGGUCAAGAUUGACGCUCAUGCACGAAAGCGUGGGGAGCAAACAGGAUUAGAUACCCUGGUAGUCCACGCCCUAAACGAUGUCUACUAGUUGUCGGGUCUUAAUUGACUUGGUAACGCAGCUAACGCGUGAAGUAGACCGCCUGGGGAUCGGUCGCAAGNUUAAAACGUCAAAUGAAUUGAGG
RNAcentral lists this ribosomal RNA (583 nucleotides) under uncultured bacterium. RNAcentral describes it as "bacterial SSU rRNA". It matches the Rfam family "Bacterial small subunit ribosomal RNA", at positions 338 to 915 of the family's 1533-position model. The record is from RNAcentral.